GGAAGGGACGCAUUUAUUAGA
Molecule: non-coding RNA, 21 nt
Filed under: Arabidopsis thaliana (thale cress)
Lineage: Eukaryota; Viridiplantae; Streptophyta; Magnoliopsida; Brassicales; Brassicaceae
Source: RNAcentral